This 266-nucleotide ribosomal RNA is filed under the name uncultured Staphylococcus sp. RNAcentral describes it as "partial 16S ribosomal RNA". It matches the Rfam family "Bacterial small subunit ribosomal RNA", at positions 96 to 354 of the family's 1533-position model. The record is from RNAcentral. Lineage: Bacteria; Bacillati; Bacillota; Bacilli; Caryophanales; Staphylococcaceae.
CGGCGGACGGGUGAGUAACACGUGGAUAACCUACCUAUAAGACUGGGAUAACUUCGGGAAACCGGAGCUAAUACCGGAUAAUAUAUUGAACCGCAUGGUUCAAUAGUGAAAGACGGUUUUGCUGUCACUUAUAGAUGGAUCCGCGCCGCAUUAGAUAGUUGGUAAGGUAACGGCUUACCAAGGCAACGAUGCGUAGCCGACCUGAGAGGGUGAUCGGCCACACUGGAACUGAGACACGGUCCAGACUCCUACGGGAGGCAGCAGAC